UUAAAUUCAUGCCUUGAGCCCAUGCAAUAUGCCUUUGGUUAUGAAUGUUAAUAUAAUUAUGGUGAUGGAGAAAUGAAUAAAUGUAUGUGUAAUAGGAUCAUAGAUCUGAUGAAAGUUGUUUCGGGGUAGGAUGAAUUUUAGGGUCUGACAAUUGCCCCUAUUUAAUUUUCUCGGAACUGAAUAUAUGGUCGGCGACGGUUUCCAAUGUGUUUAAGGUAAGAGAGAAUUAAAU
This 232-nucleotide long non-coding RNA is filed under the name Lathyrus oleraceus (garden pea). RNAcentral describes it as "Pisum sativum (pea) long non-coding RNA (PSAT_LNC024964)". The record is from RNAcentral. Lineage: Eukaryota; Viridiplantae; Streptophyta; Magnoliopsida; Fabales; Fabaceae.